This 484-nucleotide ribosomal RNA is filed under the name uncultured bacterium. RNAcentral describes it as "partial 16S ribosomal RNA". It matches the Rfam family "Bacterial small subunit ribosomal RNA", at positions 29 to 507 of the family's 1533-position model. The record is from RNAcentral.
AUUGAACGCUGGCGGCAUGCUUUACACAUGCAAGUCGAACGGCAGCGCGGGCUUCGGCCUGGCGACGAGUGGCGAACGGGUGAGUAAUACAUCGGAACGUGCCCAGUAGUGGGGGAUAGCUCGGCGAAAGCCGGAUUAAUACCGCAUACGACCUGAGGGUGAAAGCGGGGGAUCUUCAGACCUCGCGCUAUUGGAGCGGCCGAUGGCAGAUUAGCUAGUUGGUGGGGUAAAGGCCUACCAAGGCGACGAUCUGUAGCUGGUCUGAGAGGACGACCAGCCACACUGGGACUGAGACACGGCCCAGACUCCUACGGGAGGCAGCAGUGGGGAAUUUUGGACAAUGGGCGAAAGCCUGAUCCAGCAAUGCCGCGUGUGUGAUGAAGGCCUUCGGGUUGUAAAGCACUUUUGGCGGGAACGAAAAGGACUGUGCCAAUACCACGGUUCGAUGACGGUACCCGCAGAAUAAGCACCGGCUAACUACGUG